RNAcentral lists this ribosomal RNA (414 nucleotides) under uncultured microorganism. RNAcentral describes it as "bacterial SSU rRNA". It matches the Rfam family "Archaeal small subunit ribosomal RNA", at positions 459 to 872 of the family's 1478-position model. The record is from RNAcentral.
CAGCAGCCGCGGUAAUACCGGCGGCUCGAGUGGUGGCCACUUUUAUUGGGUCUAAAGCGUCCGUAGCCGGCUUGGCAAGUCCCCUGGGAAAUCUGGCGGCUUAACCGUCAGGCGUCCAGAGGAUACUGCCAGGCUUGGGACCGGGAGAGGUGAGAGGUACCUCAGGGGUAGGGGUGAAAUCUUGUGAUCCCUGAGGGACCACCAGUGGCGAAGGCGUCUCACUAGAACGGGUCCGACGGUCAGGGACGAAAGCUGGGGGCACGAACCGGAUUAGAUACCCGGGUAGUCCCAGCCGUAAACGAUGCUCGCUAGGUGUCAGGCAUGGCAUGACUGUGCCUGGUGCCGAAGGGAAGCCGUGAAGCGAGCCACCUGGGAAGUACGGCCGCAAGGCUGAAACUUAAAGGAAUUGGCGGG